CGGGACGUAGCUCAGCCUGGUAGAGCACCGCGUUUGGGACGCGGUGGCCGGCGGUUCGAAUCCGCCCGUCCCGA
Molecule: transfer RNA, 74 nt
Filed under: Actinomycetes bacterium
Lineage: Bacteria; Bacillati; Actinomycetota; Actinomycetes
Also listed under: 1 other name
Description: Actinobacteria bacterium tRNA-Pro
Rfam family: tRNA
About the family: Transfer RNA (tRNA) molecules are approximately 80 nucleotides in length.
Source: RNAcentral